Long non-coding RNA from Dromiciops gliroides (monito del monte), 353 nucleotides. RefSeq lists it as uncharacterized. NCBI's taxonomy places the organism in Eukaryota, Metazoa, Chordata, Mammalia, Microbiotheria, Microbiotheriidae. The transcript is spliced from 4 exons. The record is from RefSeq and is a predicted model, not a curated record.
CUUUUAUAAAAUAGCUGAAUGAAUGCUUUUCCAGCGUUUCUUCUCCAGAGUUAUCCUGCUUACCGAAAUCUGUGAUACCCUGCAAUGAGGAACUUCUUGUGCUGAGGCAAUGGGGGUUAAGUGACUUGCCCAGGGUCACACAGCUGUCUUUAAUCCAGGUCUAAGUGUCUGAUCCAACAUCAGGCUGCUGGUUCAUCAUUCAAGGGAAAUGCCUUGUGCCCCUGUAGUCUAAGAACUGUCACAGGUGGAUGUCUGUCCCUGGAAAAGUCAAGGGAAUGUCCUUGUAAAGGUGAAGAAAAUUCCAUUGAUAAGGAAGAAGAAGAAGAAGAAGAAGAAGAAGAAGAAGAAGAAGA